RNAcentral lists this ribosomal RNA (468 nucleotides) under uncultured bacterium. RNAcentral's name for it is "partial 16S ribosomal RNA". It matches the Rfam family "Bacterial small subunit ribosomal RNA", at positions 28 to 507 of the family's 1533-position model. The record is from RNAcentral.
GACGAACGCUGGCGGCGUGCUUAACACAUGCAAGUCGAACGGAAAGGCCCUGCUUUUGUGGGGUGCUCGAGUGGCGAACGGGUGAGUAACACGUGAGUAACCUGCCCUUGACUUUGGGAUAACUUCAGGAAACUGGGGCUAAUACCGGAUAGGAGCUCCUGCUGCAUGGUGGGGGUUGGAAAGUUUCGGCGGUUGGGGAUGGACUCGCGGCUUAUCAGCUUGUUGGUGGGGUAGUGGCUUACCAAGGCUUUGACGGGUAGCCGGCCUGAGAGGGUGACCGGCCACAUUGGGACUGAGAUACGGCCCAGACUCCUACGGGAGGCAGCAGUGGGGAAUAUUGCACAAUGGGCGGAAGCCUGAUGCAGCAACGCCGCGUGCGGGAUGACGGCCUUCGGGUUGUAAACCGCUUUCGCCUGUGACGAAGCAUGAGUGGCGGUAAUGGGUAAAGAAGCACCGGCUAACUACGUG